GGUAAUGUGGCUUAGUGGUAGAGUGCUUGCCUAGCAUGUAUGAAGAUCUGGAUUUGAUUCCUCAGUACCA
This 70-nucleotide transfer RNA is filed under the name Dipodomys ordii (Ord's kangaroo rat). It matches the Rfam family "tRNA". Rfam says of the family: Transfer RNA (tRNA) molecules are approximately 80 nucleotides in length. Their secondary structure includes four short double-helical elements and three loops (D, anti-codon, and T loops). The record is from Rfam by way of RNAcentral. Lineage: Eukaryota; Metazoa; Chordata; Mammalia; Rodentia; Heteromyidae.